This 400-nucleotide long non-coding RNA is filed under the name Mytilus galloprovincialis (Mediterranean mussel). Lineage: Eukaryota; Metazoa; Mollusca; Bivalvia; Mytilida; Mytilidae. The record is from RNAcentral.
UCACAAUAUCCAUACUAAUAUUUAUGAGUUGAAAUAGAAAAAAAAACAAGUUGUGGCAUAAUGAGUGUAAAUGAGACAAAUCUCAAUCAAAGUCACUGUAAGGGCUUUUCAUCUAUUACAUCUAUUAAUUGACUCCUUCUAUGGAGUUUUCAUUCUUCUCGAAAAAAAUAAAUAAAGUUGUGUAACGUGUAACCGGGCGGGGACGUUUUAAAAAGAUAUUUUAAUCCUCGGGUUCGUAACAGUUUCCUGGGAUUUCAAAAUCAAUUCAAAAGUUCUAAAGGCAAUAAAAAGUUUACACUAUCACAAUCAAAUAUGAAACAAAUACUAUACUACAUAAAACGAAUUUUAACACCUAUCAACCAAACCCGAACCCGAAUUAAAACUGUUUAAAACCCUUUCA